Papaver somniferum (opium poppy) is the source of this 873-nucleotide long non-coding RNA. RefSeq lists it as uncharacterized. The transcript has 6 exons. Lineage: Eukaryota; Viridiplantae; Streptophyta; Magnoliopsida; Ranunculales; Papaveraceae. The record is from RefSeq and is a predicted model, not a curated record.
CAUCUCCGACAAAUUUGUCUCUUCCCUUCUCGAUCUGCUGAAAAAGAAGGUGGAGUUUACACGUUAAUUUCUCUCACUCGAUCUGUUGAAGAGGAAGGUGGAAUUUAUUGACGGAGCCAUCGAAAACCAUUGGAGGCUAAUGAAGAACGGAUCCGUCGAUUGCAUACUCUGCUAAAAUGCUAUAUACAUUUAUUUUUGGAAGAAACUGACUGCAAUGGAUUCUUGACAAAGCUUUAGUGCGUCACACGAGUAACAAUAGGCUUCUCUUGGCACAAUUAUUGCUUUACAAGUUGUCACUAAUACUUCUCAAUCUGAGAGGUUAAGGCAAGCAUGAUGGUGUUCUAAUGGAUCGACCGACGAGACAUGUGAAAAAAAGCUAUACAUCUGUAAUCAAACAAUGACCGAUUAUGUGGCACUCUCUCUCUCCCUCCCUCCUUUCUCUUAUACUAAUACUAAUAGUCGUUGAAUUUGAAUUCGUAAUCGGCAUUAAUAAAGAUGUUUUCUUCUUAUGGAAAGAUUGAGUCAGAGGAUUUUUUAUGGCACACUCUUGGUCCAAAGCGAGGAAAGCUACGAGAUUUCUCUUUCAUUCAGUUCAGUACCAAAGAGGGCCUUAUGUCACUUCCUUGACCAUGUGACGUUCGAGAGAAAAGAUGACUUUUUUGAGAUGUUCAAAACCUGAGCUCUUUUACUGAACUUAAGGUACUUAUCGAGGGAGCUUAAAAAAGUGGAGAAGAAUAAUGGACGGGAUUUAGAUAUUAACGAGGUAAAGGACUGUAGGCGAGGGAAUAUUGAGUUUAUUUUAAAGCACAAGAACCUCUUUUUUUAAGUUAGUAACUUUUGGGCAUGUUUAUAGAUGUAUACAUGUUUAUACAC